GAUGAACGCUGGCGGCGUGCCUAAUACAUGCAAGUCGAGCGAACGGACGAGAAGCUUGCUCCUCUGAUGUUAGCGGCGGACGGGUGAGUAACACGUGGAUAACCUACCUAUAAGACUGGGAUAACUUCGGGAAACCGGAGCUAAUACCGGAUAAUAUUUUGAACCGCAUGGUUCAAUAGUGAAAGACGGUUUUGCUGUCACUUAUAGAUGGAUCCGCGCUGCAUUAGCUAGUUGGUAAGGUAACGGCUUACCAAGGCAACGAUGCAUAGCCGACCUGAGAGGGUGAUCGGCCACACUGGAACUGAGACGCGGUCCAGACUCCUACGGGAGGCAGCAGUAGGGAAUCUUCCGCAAUGGGCGAAAGCCUGACGGAGCAACGCCGCGUGAGUGAUGAAGGUCUUCGGAUCGUAAAACUCUGUUAUUAGGGAAGAACAUAUGUGUAAGUAACUGUGCACGUCUUGACGGUACCUAAUCAGAAAGCCACGGCUAACUACGUG
RNAcentral lists this ribosomal RNA (497 nucleotides) under uncultured bacterium. Its description in RNAcentral is "partial 16S ribosomal RNA". It matches the Rfam family "Bacterial small subunit ribosomal RNA", at positions 28 to 507 of the family's 1533-position model. The record is from RNAcentral.